Molecule: long non-coding RNA, 402 nt
Organism: Magnolia sinica
Lineage: Eukaryota; Viridiplantae; Streptophyta; Magnoliopsida; Magnoliales; Magnoliaceae
Exons: 3
Source: RefSeq, a predicted model, not a curated record
GCCUCCCUCGCCCUCUCCUCUCUCUCUCUCUCUCUCUCUCUCUCUCUCUCUCACUCAGCCCUCUCUCUAUCUCUCGCGCUACCUCACCCUCUCUUUAUCUCUUAGCCCCAUUUCCCUCUCUGUUUCCCAACCUCUCUGUCUCUCUCGCUAGGGUUUUCAAAACCCCCUUUUGCUGUAAGAAGGAGAAGAAGGAGAAGGAGAAGGAGAAGAAGAACGGUUCGGGGUUGGACGUUCACAAUAUUUGCUGGAUCAUGAAAUUUUUGACGAGGAAUGGAGUAUGGCUUUACUCUCUAGAUGACCAAAACAGGGCUGCAUUUGUGUGAAGGACCUGAGGAUGGUAUGCAUAUCCUUGGGUAAGCGGAUCAUAUAAUUUGUCUUCCUAAUAUGCCAUUCUAUGCAAGG